AAAUUGAAGAAAAAGUGUGGGAUUCCAAGGAAUUAAGCAAGGUGGUGAGCCAUUGCGUACGGGUAAAGGACUAUACCCGCAGACUGAAAAUAGAAGUAUUUCUACUCCUUAUACCGAUUAAGAGACAGCCGGUAACUAGGACGAGGUG
Non-coding RNA from Theobroma cacao (cacao), 148 nucleotides. The record is from RefSeq and is a predicted model, not a curated record. NCBI's taxonomy places the organism in Eukaryota, Viridiplantae, Streptophyta, Magnoliopsida, Malvales, Malvaceae.